AUUGAACGCUGGCGGCAGGCCUAACACAUGCAAGUCGAGCGGAUGAAGGGAGCUUGCUCCUGGAUUCAGCGGCGGACGGGUGAGUAAUGCCUAGGAAUCUGACUGGUAGUGGGGGAUAACGUCCGGAAACGGGCGCUAAUACCGCAUACGUCCUGAGGGAGAAAGUGGGGGAUCUUCGGACCUCACGCUAUCAGAUGAGCCUAGGUCGGAUAGCUAGUUGGUGGGGUAAAGGCCUACCAAGGCGACGAUCCGUAACUGGUCUGAGAGGAUGAUCAGUCACACUGGAACUGAGACACGGUCCAGACUCCUACGGGAGGCAGCAGAGGGGAAUAUUGGACAAUGGGCGAAAGCCUGAUCCAGCCAUGCCGCGUGUGUGAAGAAGGUCUUCGGAUUGUAAAGCACUUUAAGUUGGGAGGAAGGGCAGUAAGUUAAUACCUUGCUGUUUUGACGUUACCAACAGAAUAAGCACCGGCUAACUUCGUG
Molecule: ribosomal RNA, 483 nt
Filed under: uncultured bacterium
Lineage: Bacteria
Description: partial 16S ribosomal RNA
Rfam family: Bacterial small subunit ribosomal RNA
Source: RNAcentral